AACCUCCGCAAUGUGAGAAAUCGCGACGGGGGGAUCCCAAGUGCCAUUCUUAACGGGAUGGCUUUUCAUUAGUGUAAAGAGCUUUUGGAAUAAGAGCUGGGCAAGACCGGUGCCAGCCGCCGCGGUAACACCGGCAGCUCUAGUGGUAACAAUUUUUAUUGGGCCUAAAGCGUCCGUAGCCGGUUUAAUAAGUCUCUGGUGAAAUCCUGCAGCUUAACUGUGGGAAUUGCUGGAGAUACUAUUAGACUUGAGACCGGGAGAGGUUAGAGGUACUCCCAGGGUAGAGGUGAAAUUCUGUAAUCCUGGGAGGACCGCCUGUUGCGAAGGCGUCUAACUGGAACGGUUCUGACGGUGAGGGACGAAAGUUAGGGGCGCGAACCGGAUUAGAUACCCGGGUAGUCCUAACUGUAACGAUGCGGACUUGGUGUUGGGGUGGCUUUGAGCUGCUUCAGUGCCGAAGGGAAGCUGUUAAGUCCGCCGCCUGGGAAGUACGGUCGCAAGACUGAAACUUAAAGGAAUU
This 520-nucleotide ribosomal RNA is filed under the name uncultured bacterium. RNAcentral describes it as "bacterial SSU rRNA". It matches the Rfam family "Archaeal small subunit ribosomal RNA", at positions 345 to 866 of the family's 1478-position model. The record is from RNAcentral.